GGAUCCUUGGUGUAGCGGUAACACACCCACAAAAGUUAAACCAUUUGCUUUCUUUCUGCGAGAGAUCGCCUGUUCAGUUCAGGCAGGAUCUG
Molecule: non-coding RNA, 92 nt
Organism: Mycena galericulata
Lineage: Eukaryota; Fungi; Basidiomycota; Agaricomycetes; Agaricales; Mycenaceae
Source: the annotation of a GenBank genome assembly